This 441-nucleotide ribosomal RNA is filed under the name Micrococcus luteus. Its description in RNAcentral is "bacterial SSU rRNA". It matches the Rfam family "Bacterial small subunit ribosomal RNA", at positions 9 to 450 of the family's 1533-position model. The record is from RNAcentral. Lineage: Bacteria; Bacillati; Actinomycetota; Actinomycetes; Micrococcales; Micrococcaceae.
GAGUUUGAUCCUGGCUCAGGAUGAACGCUGGCGGCGUGCUUAACACAUGCAAGUCGAACGAUGAAGCCCAGCUUGCUGGGUGGAUUAGUGGCGAACGGGUGAGUAACACGUGAGUAACCUGCCCUUAACUCUGGGAUAAGCCUGGGAAACUGGGUCUAAUACCGGAUAGGAGCGUCCACCGCAUGGUGGGUGUUGGAAAGAUUUAUCGGUUUUGGAUGGACUCGCGGCCUAUCAGCUUGUUGGUGAGGUAAUGGCUCACCAAGGCGACGACGGGUAGCCGGCCUGAGAGGGUGACCGGCCACACUGGGACUGAGACACGGCCCAGACUCCUACGGGAGGCAGCAGUGGGGAAUAUUGCACAAUGGGCGCAAGCCUGAUGCAGCGACGCCGCGUGAGGGAUGACGGCCUUCGGGUUGUAAACCUCUUUCAGUAGGGAAGAAG